Molecule: ribosomal RNA, 406 nt
Filed under: uncultured bacterium
Lineage: Bacteria
Description: partial 16S ribosomal RNA
Rfam family: Bacterial small subunit ribosomal RNA
Source: RNAcentral
GAUGAACGCUAGCUACAGGCUUAACACAUGCAAGUCGAGGGACGGGCGGACGGGGGAGUAACAGGUAUCCAAGAUGCACUUUACUCGGGGAGAGCCUUACGAAAGAAAGAUUAAUACCCGAUAUAAAGGAUGGGGAUGCGUUCCAGUAGGUGGAUGGUGAGGUAACGGCCCACCAAGCAUGCGAUGGAUAGGGGUUCUGAGAGGAAGGUCCCCCAGAUUGGAACUGAGACCCGGUCCAAACUCCUACGGGAGGCAGCAGUGACUAAUAUUGGGCAAUGGGCGCUAGCCUGACCCAGCCAAGUAGCGUGAAGGAUGAAUGCUUAUGGGUCGUCAACUUCUUUUAUAUAAGAAUCUGUAUUAUAUGAAUAAGGAUCGGCUAACUCCGUGCCAGCAGCCGCGGUAAUUC